CCUACGGGAGGCUGCAGUGGGGAAUAUUGCACAAUGGGCGCAAGCCUGAUGCAGCCAUGCCGCGUGUGUGAAGAAGGCCUUCGGGUUGUAAAGCACUUUCAGCGGGGAGGAAGGCGUUAAGGUUAAUAACCUUGUCGAUUGACGUUACCCGCAGAAGAAGCACCGGCUAACUCCGUGCCAGCAGCCGCGGUAAUACGGAGGGUGCAAGCGUUAAUCGGAAUUACUGGGCGUAAAGCGCACGCAGGCGGUCUGUCAAGUCGGAUGUGAAAUUCCCGGGCUCAACCUGGGAACUGCAUUCGAAACUGGCAGGCUAGAGUCUUGUAGAGGGGGGUAGAAUUCCAGGUGUAGCGGUGAAAUGCGUAGAGAUCUGGAGGAAUACCGGUGGCGAAGGCGGCCCCCUGGACAAAGACUGACGCUCAGGUGCGAAAGCGUGGGGAGCAAACAGGAUUAGAUACCCGAGUAGUC
RNAcentral lists this ribosomal RNA (465 nucleotides) under uncultured Klebsiella sp. RNAcentral describes it as "bacterial SSU rRNA". It matches the Rfam family "Bacterial small subunit ribosomal RNA", at positions 338 to 795 of the family's 1533-position model. Lineage: Bacteria; Pseudomonadati; Pseudomonadota; Gammaproteobacteria; Enterobacterales; Enterobacteriaceae. The record is from RNAcentral.